UCCAGGAUAAUGUAGAAGUUCCACCAGAGAGUGGCUGCAAGGCGGGCUCGUCUUGUCUCUGGGAGGAGUGAUGCUCCAUCAUGAGAACAUCUCUCCUGGAUCCAGAGAUACUCAUCCGGAGCCUACAGAUAUGGUUGUGUGAAGCUGACAGAUCGCAUCAUCUGUUUGAAUGCCGACGGACACUGUAGGAAGACGAAAAAGACCAUUCGUUAAAGAAUAGCAAGGAAUUUUGUUCCAGGAAGCAUUAAGGUGGACAUCAUCCGAUCUGAUGAAAGGACUUACAAGGUUUCCUUGAGGAAGAAAUUCUGCUUCCAUUGUAACCUCCACCCUGUGUGAGAUACCUGCCGGCAGCCUCACUUAAAGGUUCCUCAUUGGCUAGGUGGUCCCUACA
This is a long non-coding RNA of Felis catus (domestic cat), 391 nucleotides long. RefSeq lists it as uncharacterized. The record is from RefSeq and is a predicted model, not a curated record. Lineage: Eukaryota; Metazoa; Chordata; Mammalia; Carnivora; Felidae. The transcript is spliced from 3 exons.